GCUUCCUGGAACAGGGCUCAUGAACAAAUCUGUUUUCAAUUGAAUCUGAUAUUAGGCUAAGGGUUUGGCUUGGUGAUAGAGUGCCUAGUUUGGGUGCCUAGUAUGAUCAGCCCUCUGUACCUCCAAGAUUAUUUUAAAAAGACAAAAGAAACCUUUGCAAACAGAGAAACUUGAAAUGAGAUAUGAUUCCUCAGGAGUCAGUGCAGUGCAGGAGUGGAUCUGGUAACUUUAACUACAGCUCUGGAGAUCUUCAAUGAGCACGACUUGCAGGCCAGUGAACAUGUAAUGGAUGUGGUGGAGGUCAUUCACUGCUUGACUGCCUUGUAUGAACGACUGGAGGAGGAAAGAGGCAUCCUGGUCAACGUGCCGCUGUGUGUAGACAUGA
Molecule: long non-coding RNA, 385 nt
Filed under: Rattus norvegicus (Norway rat)
Lineage: Eukaryota; Metazoa; Chordata; Mammalia; Rodentia; Muridae
Description: long non-coding RNA NONRATT030653
Source: RNAcentral